UGAAUUGCGAUAAGUAAUGUGAAUUGCAUCACCUGUGAAUCAUCAAAUCUUUGAACGCACCUUGCGCCUUUUGGGUCUACUGAAAGGCAUACCUGUUUGAGUAUCAGAAAGUAUUCUAUCAAUAAUGAAAGUUAUUUGAUAGGAAUUGAGGUCUAUUAUUAUUUUUUAAUAUUCCUUGAAAUUUAGGUAGAAUUUAAUAAUAUUUGAUUCAAAAGUGCGGUAAGAAAAUAUCAUUUUCUCCCACUGAUAAAAGUCCUAUAUUAUUAUUCACACCUACUCUCUUUAACUACUAAUGAACUCUUGAUCUCAAAUCAGGUAGGAUCACCCGCUGAACUUAA
RNAcentral lists this unclassified non-coding RNA (338 nucleotides) under uncultured fungus. RNAcentral's name for it is "sequence contains ITS1". The stretch from base 1 to 106 matches the Rfam family "5.8S ribosomal RNA", at positions 49 to 154 of the family's 154-position model. Lineage: Eukaryota; Fungi. The record is from RNAcentral.